GCGGCGUCGCCGUCGUCCCGGAGCGCCCCGAGCUGGCGCGGGCAUGGCCGCGGCAUGAGCUUGGAGCCGCCGCCGGAGCCGGAGGAGAAGGCGGCGUCGGAGCCUGAGGCGGGAGCCAUGCCGGAGAAGCGUGCGGGCGCGCAGGCCGCGGGGAGCAGCUGGCUACAAGGCUUUGGCCGACCAAGUGUGUACCAUGCUGCUAUUGUCAUCUUCCUUGAAUUCUUUGCGUGGGGCCUGUUGACAACUCCAAUGUUGAUUGUUCUACAUGAAACAUUUUCUCAACACACAUUCCUCAUGAAUGGUCUCAUUCAAGGUGUUAAGGGUCUAGCUCUCUUUUUUGAGUGCCCCACUCAUAGGUGCCCUGUCUGAUGUGUGGGGGAGGAAGCCCUUUCUUCUCGGCACUGUAUUCUUCACCUGCUUCCCAAUCCCGCUGAUGAGGAUCAGCCCAUGGUGGUAUUUUGCAAUGAUUUCUGUGUCUGGAGUCUUCUUGGUCACGUUCUCUGUUAUAUUUGCCUACGUAGCUGAUGUCACUCAGGAGCACGAGCGAAGUACAGCUUAUGGAUGGGUCUCAGCCACCUUUGCGGCUAGUCUUGUCAGCAGCCCAGCCAUUGGAGCAUAUCUUUCUGCCAGUUACGGAGACAGCCUCGUUGUGCUGGUGGCUACAGUGGUGGCUCUUCUGGACAUCUGCUUCAUCUUAGUGGCUGUUCCAGAAUCUCUGCCUGAGAAAAUGAGACCGGUUUCCUGGGGAGCUCAGAUUUCUUGGAAACAAGCGGACCCUUUUGCGUCGUUGAAGAAAGUUGGAAAAGAUUCUACUGUCUUACUAAUCUGCAUCACCGUGUUUCUUUCAUACCUUCCUGAAGCUGGACAGUAUUCAAGUUUUUUUCUCUAUCUUAGGCAGGUCAUAGGUUUUGGAUCUGUUAAAAUUGCAGCAUUCAUAGCUAUGGUAGGAAUUCUGUCUAUUGUGGCUCAGACGGCCUUUCUUAGCAUCUUGAUGAGAUCAUUAGGAAAUAAGAAUACUGUCCUCCUUGGCUUGGGCUUCCAGAUGCUCCAGUUAGCCUGGUACGGUUUCGGAUCACAGGCCUGGAUGAUGUGGGCAGCAGGGACCGUGGCCGUUAUGUCCAGCAUCACAUUUCCGGCAAUCAGUGCCCUCGUCUCUCGGAAUGCAGAGUCAGAUCAGCAAGGAGUUGCCCAAGGGAUCAUAACUGGAAUAAGAGGACUAUGCAAUGGCCUGGGGCCAGCACUGUAUGGCUUCAUAUUCUACAUGUUCCAUGUGGAACUGACUGAGUUGGGCCCGAAAUUGAAUUCUAACAACGUUCCCCUGCAGGGAGCUGUCAUCCCAGGCCCGCCGUUUUUAUUUGGGGCGUGUAUAGUCCUUGUGUCUUUUCUGGUUGCCUUAUUCAUUCCUGAAUACAGUAAAGCCAGUGGAGUUCAAACACACAGUAACAGCAGCGGCAGCCUGACUAACACCCCAGAACGGGGCAGUGAUGAGGACAUUGAACCACUGCUGCAAGGUAGCAGCAUCUGGGAGCUCUCUUCAUUUGAGGAGCCUGGAAAUCAGUGUACUGAGUUGUAAACUCGGCAGAAAGUGGGAUUCUGCAUACGCCAUCUCUGAGAGCCAUGGAGGGAGCCACACCCCUGGUGACUUCAUGGUGCUGGAUGGGAGAUGCUAGCGGCAUCCUUCAGGGCCAAGUUUGAUAAAUACCACCACCAUCGUUCUGCUCUUCCUCCUCCUGUUUUUUUUUUUUUUCUCUUAUAUUUUUUUCCUGUUUAUACAUUAGAAUAAGAUAAGAUUUGAAAUACUUCCCUGCAAAUAAUGUGCAACUCUCAAGGUGAAACUCAAAUAGAAAAAGUCAUCUCUCUGGUAGAAAGGAUGGCUUUCCUGUAAUGACUGUAGACGUGACAGCAGUCUUUCCAUGCCCUUUUCAGCAGAAAGGUACAGAACUAUAGUGGGACUGCCAUCUCUGGCAAGAUUUCAGGUAAAGAAUGUCUUCUUAACUUCUACCUUCCUGUUUCUCUGAAUCAGCCCAUAGGUGUUGAUGAGUGGCCACUGUUAAGAGUCACUCAGUAUCAGGGAUCUAUUGUCGUUGUUCAAAGGUCAAGUAAAAACCUAGUCUCCUUUUAUUCUACUUCCUAUUCUUGGCUAGAAUGAAACUCAGCAUAUAUACACUUCUGGACAUAAAUAAUAUUGAAUAGUAAUUACCUUUACUAGAUGAAAGAAAUUUUUAUUACAAACUUAAAUCAUGUAAAACUCACAACGCAGAUUCCUGGACCCGGUGUCCUGGUUGGGUCCGAGGUGAUUUUACAGAAGAAAAAAACAACUCAAGCAUUCUGGUGGCAACACAGAAAUUGUAGGCUGCUUCUAAGACAGUUAGUAACAAUUUGGAAAUUCCUAAGUAGGAUGAGAGUUAAUAACUGGAUACAAGUGAAGUUUAUAUCCAAGUUCAGACUCAUAGG
Rhinopithecus roxellana (golden snub-nosed monkey) is the source of this 2454-nucleotide RNA transcript. It is a transcript of the gene named hippocampus abundant transcript-like protein 1 pseudogene, with no coding region annotated. NCBI's taxonomy places the organism in Eukaryota, Metazoa, Chordata, Mammalia, Primates, Cercopithecidae. The record is from RefSeq and is a predicted model, not a curated record. The transcript has a single exon.